This 473-nucleotide ribosomal RNA is filed under the name uncultured bacterium. RNAcentral's name for it is "bacterial SSU rRNA". It matches the Rfam family "Bacterial small subunit ribosomal RNA", at positions 355 to 825 of the family's 1533-position model. The record is from RNAcentral.
UGGGGAAUAUUGCGCAAUGGACGAAAGUCUGACGCAGCGACGCCGCGUGUGGGAGGAAGCUCUUCGGGGUGUAAACCACUGUCAGGAGGGAAGAACGGCGCCGGUUCGAACAGUUCCGGCGAUUGACGGUACCUCCAAAGGAAGCGCCGGCUAACUCCGUGCCAGCAGCCGCGGUAAGACGGAGGGCGCAAGCGUUGUUCGGAAUUACUGGGCGUAAAGCGCGGGCAGGCGGUCUGUUAAGUCGUUUGUGAAAAUCCGGGGCUCAACCCCGGAAAUGCAUACGAUACUGGCAGGCUGGAGACUGGUAGAGGCUAGCGGAAUUCCUGGUGUAGCGGUGGAAUGCGUAGAUAUCAGGAAGAACACCUGUGGCGAAGGCGGCUAGCUGGGCCAGUUCUGACGCUGAUCCGCGAAAGCGUGGGGAGCAAACAGGAUUAGAUACCCUUGUAGUCCCUGAGCGGGCUGGCAAGGCGCAU